GCAGCCCGAGUGGUGAUCACUAUUAUUGGGUCUAAAGGGUCCGUAGCCGGUUUAAUCAGUCUUCUGGGAAAUCUAAUCGCUUAACUAUUAGGCUUCCAGGGGAUACUGUUAGACUUGGGACCGGGAGAGGUAAGAGGUACUGCAGGGGUAGGAGUGAAAUCUUGUAAUCCCUGUGAGACCACCAGUGGCGAAGGCGUCUUACCAGAACGGGUCCGACGGUGAGGGACGAAAGCUAGGGGCACGAACCGGAUUAGAUACCCGGGUAGUCCCAGCUGUAAACGAUGCUCGUUAGGUGUCAGGAACGGUGCGACUGUUUCUGGUGCCGAAGGGAAGCCGUGAAACGAGCCACCUGGGAAGUACGGCCGCAAGGCUGAAACUUAAAGGAAUUGGCGGGGGAGCACUACAACGGGUGGAGCCUGCGGUUUAAUUGGACUCAACGCCGGAAAACUCACCGGGGGCGACAGCAAUAUGUAGGUCAGGUUAAAGGUCUUACCUGAAUCGCUGAGAGGAGGUGCAUGGCCGUCGUCAGUUCGUACUGUGAAGCAUCCUGUUAAGUCAGGCAACGAGCAAGACCCGUGCCCACUGUUACCAGCAUAUCCUUUAUGGAUGAUGGGGACUCUGUGGGGACCGCUGCUGCUAAAGCAGAGGAAGGUGCGGGCUACGGUAGGUCAGUAUGCCCCGAAUCUCCCGGGCUACACGCGGGCUACAAUGGUUGGGACAAUGGGUAUCUACUCCGAAAGGAGUUGGCAAUCUCUUAAACCCAAUCGUAGUUCGAAUUGAGGGCUGUAACUCGCCCUCCAUGAAGCUGGAAUCCGUAGUAAUCGCGUUUCAACAUAGCGCGGU
Molecule: ribosomal RNA, 843 nt
Filed under: uncultured archaeon
Lineage: Archaea
Description: bacterial SSU rRNA
Rfam family: Archaeal small subunit ribosomal RNA
Source: RNAcentral